Molecule: ribosomal RNA, 373 nt
Filed under: uncultured eukaryote
Lineage: Eukaryota
Description: partial 18S ribosomal RNA
Rfam family: Eukaryotic small subunit ribosomal RNA
Source: RNAcentral
CAAUAGCGUAUAUUAAAGUUGUUGCAGUUAAAAAGCUCGUAGUUGGAUUUCUGCCAGGGUGCCAAUGUCCGCCGAAGUGCGUGCGCAGCGGCGCCCUCGCAUCCUUCUGUUAACGCCUCUCGGCAUUUACUUGCCGGUGGUGGGCUCAGAUAAUUUACCUUGAGAAAAUUAGAGUGUUUCAGGCAGGCUAGGCCGGAAUACAUUAGCAUGGAAUAAUGGAAUAGGACUACGGUCUCGUUGUUGGUUUGAGGGACUGGAGUAAUGAUUAAUAGGGAUAGUUGGGGGCAUUAGUAUUUAAUUGUCAGAGGUGAGAUUCUCAGAUUUGUUAAAGACUAACUUAUGCGAAAGCAUUUGCCAAGGAUGUUUUCAUUAA